AACUAACAGUCCAGCAUGCUUCACAGAUUUUGAAUAAAAUACUGAUUUGCUCUCUGAUUAUUCCCUGUCCAUAAUUAAUUAGCUUCUGCAACAUCAAACUAUUUUAAUAAUAUUUUGCCAUUUUAAAAUCAACGGUGAAUAAAAUCUGCUUUGUGAUAGCCUUUCGGGUCACUUAGAAUAAACAUUAAUAAUUUGCUACUGCCCAUAUGCUCUUAUUUAGCUAAUCUGUCCUAAUUAAACUGGCCAAUAAUUAGUUAAAAUCUACAUUCUGAAAUAACUUUCUGCUCCCC
Molecule: long non-coding RNA, 290 nt
Filed under: Solanum tuberosum (potato)
Lineage: Eukaryota; Viridiplantae; Streptophyta; Magnoliopsida; Solanales; Solanaceae
Description: long non-coding RNA (STUB_LNC001318)
Source: RNAcentral